ACGGCUCAGUAACACGUGGCUAAUCUACCCUUAGGUCAAGGAUACCCUCGGGAAACUGAGGUUAAUACUUGAUAAGAGAUUUACCCUGGAAAGAUUUAUCUCUAAAAUUCGAGCCUAAGGAUGAGGCUGCGGCGGAUUAGGUUGUUGGCGGGGUAAUAGCCCACCAAGCCGACGAUCCGUAAGGGCUCUUAGCGGAGAGGCCCUGAGAAGGAAUCUGAGACACUAUUCCUAGCCUUACGGGGUGCAGCAGUCGAGGAAAUUCUACAAUGCUCGAGAGAGUGAUAGAAUGAGUCAGAGUGUUUUCUUUCAGAAAACUUUUAUUUGUUGUAAAAAGACAGAUGAAUAAGGACUGGGUAAGACCGGUGCCAGCCGCCGCGGUAAUACCGGCGGUCCAAGUCGCAUCCACAUUUAUUGGGUCUAAAACAUCCGUAGCUUGUUUUGUAAGUCUCUUGUGAAAUUUUAUAUCUCAAAUAUAGAGCGCGCAAGAGAUACUACAUUGCUAGAGACCGGAAGACGUAAAGAGUAUGAUUGAGGUAGCGGUAAAAUGUUUUAAUCUUAAUCAGACUAACAAUAGCGAAGGCACUUUACGAGUACGGUUCUGACAGUGAGGGAUGAAGGCUAGGGUCGCGAAAGGGAUUAGAUACCCCUGUAGUCCUAGCAGUAAACGCUGCUCACUAAACAUCAGUGCCUCCUCGAGAGGCAUUGGUGCUGUAGAGAAGUCGGAGAGUGAGCUACCUGGGAAGUAUAGUCGCAAGGCCGAAACUUAAAGGAAUUGGCGGGGGAGCAC
This 787-nucleotide ribosomal RNA is filed under the name uncultured archaeon. RNAcentral's name for it is "bacterial SSU rRNA". It matches the Rfam family "Archaeal small subunit ribosomal RNA", at positions 85 to 879 of the family's 1478-position model. The record is from RNAcentral.